RNAcentral lists this ribosomal RNA (931 nucleotides) under uncultured archaeon. Its description in RNAcentral is "bacterial SSU rRNA". It matches the Rfam family "Archaeal small subunit ribosomal RNA", at positions 1 to 918 of the family's 1478-position model. The record is from RNAcentral.
UUCCGGUUGAUCCUGCCGGACCCUACUGCUAUCGGGGGAGGACUAAAACAUGCAAGUCGUGCGCCUCCAAGCUAUGAUGGAGACGCGGCAUACGGCUCAGUAACACGUGGCUAACCCACCCUUGAGACGGAGAAAACCCCGGGAAACUGGGGCUAAUCCCCGAUAGGAGAAGACACCUGGAAGGGGUCUUUUCCCAAAAGGCGCUUAGAUCAUGCUUCUAGACGCCGCUCAAGGACGGGGCCGCGGCCGAUCAGGUUGUUGGUGAGGCAAUGGCUCACCAAGCCUGUAACCGGUACGGGCCGUGAGAGCGGGAGCCCGGAGAUGGGCACUGAGACAAGGGCCCAGGCCCUACGGGGCGCAGCAGUUGCGAAAACUCCGCAAUGCACGAAAGUGUGACGGGGCUACCCCGAGUGCCGUCCGCUGAGGGCGGCUUUUCCCCGGUGUAAGGAGCCGGGGGAAUAAGGAGAGGGCAAGACUGGUGUCAGCCGCCGCGGUAAUACCAGCUCUCCGAGUGGUGAGGACGAUUAUUGGGCUUAAAGCGUUCGUAGCCGGCUCAACAAGUCUUCCGUUAAAUCCAACGAUCUAAUCGUUGGGCCGCGGGAGAUACUGCUGGGCUAGGAGGCGGGAGAAGCCGACGGUAUUCUCGGGGUAGGGGUGAAAUCCUGUAAUCCCGGGAGGACCACCAGUGGCGAAGGCGGUCGGCUAGAACGCGCUCGACGGUGAGGGACGAAAGCUGGGGGAGCGAACCGGAUUAGAAACCCGGGUAGUCCCAGCUGUAAACGAUGCGGGCUAGUGUUGGGGUGGCCACGAGCCACCUCAGUGCCGCAUGGAAGCAAUUAAGCCCGCCGCCUGGGAGUACGCCGCAAGGCUGAAACUUAAGAUGGCGGGGGAGCACCCACAAGGCGUGAGCUGCGUUAAUGACUCACGCCGG